Molecule: transfer RNA, 73 nt
Filed under: Apaloderma vittatum (bar-tailed trogon)
Lineage: Eukaryota; Metazoa; Chordata; Aves; Trogoniformes; Trogonidae
Rfam family: tRNA
About the family: Transfer RNA (tRNA) molecules are approximately 80 nucleotides in length. Their secondary structure includes four short double-helical elements and three loops (D, anti-codon, and T loops).
Source: Rfam by way of RNAcentral
GACGGGUUAGCUCAGUCGAUUGGAGUGUGGUGCUGAUAACACCAAGGUCAUGGGUUCAAUUCCUGUUCGGUCC